AUUGAACGCUGGCGGCAUGCCUUACACAUGCAAGUCGAACGGUAACAGGUUAAGCUGACGAGUGGCGAACGGGUGAGUAAUGUAUCGGAACGUGCCCAGUCGUGGGGGAUAACUACUCGAAAGAGUGGCUAAUACCGCAUACGACCUGAGGGUGAAAGCGGGGGACCGUAAGGCCUCGCGCGAUUGGAGCGGCCGAUAUCAGAUUAGCUAGUUGGUGGGGUAAAAGCCCACCAAGGCGACGAUCUGUAGCUGGUCUGAGAGGACGACUAGCCACACUGGGACUGAGACACGGCCCAGACUCCUACGGGAGGCAGCAGUGGGGAAUUUUGGACAAUGGACGCAAGUCUGAUCCAGCCAUGCCGCGUGCGGGAAGAAGGCCUUCGGGUUGUAAACCGCUUUUGUCAGGGAAGAAACGAGUUUCUCUAAUACAGAGACUUAAUGACGGUACCUGAAGAAUAAGCACCGGCUAACUACGUGCCAGCCGCCGCUGUAA
RNAcentral lists this ribosomal RNA (493 nucleotides) under uncultured bacterium. RNAcentral describes it as "partial 16S ribosomal RNA". It matches the Rfam family "Bacterial small subunit ribosomal RNA", at positions 30 to 523 of the family's 1533-position model. The record is from RNAcentral.